GACGAACGCUGGCGGCGUGCUUAACACAUGCAAGUCGAGCGGUAAGGCCCUUUCGGGGGUACACGAGCGGCGAACGGGUGAGUAACACGUGGGUGACCUGCCCUCAGCUCUGGGAUAAGCCUGGGAAACCGGGUCUAAUACCGGAUAUGACUCCAUGACGCAUGUUGUGGGGUGGAAAGCCUUGUGCGGCUGAGGAUGGGCCCGCGGCCUAUCAGCUUGUUGGUGGGGUGAUGGCCUACCAAGGCGACGACGGGUAGCCGGCCUGAGAGGGCGACCGGCCACACUGGGACUGAGAUACGGCCCAGACUCCUACGGGAGGCAGCAGUGGGGAAUCUUGCGCAAUGGGCGAAAGCCUGACGCAGCGAUGCCGCGUGAGGGAUGACGGCCU
RNAcentral lists this ribosomal RNA (388 nucleotides) under uncultured bacterium. Its description in RNAcentral is "bacterial SSU rRNA". It matches the Rfam family "Bacterial small subunit ribosomal RNA", at positions 28 to 417 of the family's 1533-position model. The record is from RNAcentral.